GACGAACGCUGGCGGCGUGCUUAACACAUGCAAGUCGAACGGAAAGGCCCCUUUGGGGGUACUCGAGUGGCGAACGGGUGAGUAACACGUGAGUAACCUGCCCUUGACUUCGGGAUAACUUCAGGAAACUGGGGCUAAUACCGGAUAGGAAUCCUUGCUGCAUGGUGGGGGUUGGAAAGCUUCGGCGGUUUUGGAUGGACUCGCGGCUUAUCAGCUUGUUGGUGGGGUAGUGGCUUACCAAGGCUUUGGCGGGUAGCCGGCCUGAGAGGGCGACCGGCCACAUUGGGACUGAGAUACGGCCCAGACUCCGACGGGUGGCAGCAGUGGGGAAUAUUGCACAAUGGGCGGAAGCCUGAUGCAGCAACGCCGCGUGCGGGAUGACGGCCUUCGGGUUGUAAACCGCUUUCAGCAGGGGCGAAGCUUGUGGUGACGGUACCUGCAGAAGAAGCACCGGCUAACUACGUG
RNAcentral lists this ribosomal RNA (465 nucleotides) under uncultured bacterium. RNAcentral describes it as "partial 16S ribosomal RNA". It matches the Rfam family "Bacterial small subunit ribosomal RNA", at positions 28 to 507 of the family's 1533-position model. The record is from RNAcentral.